ACGAACGCUGGCGGCGUGCCUAAUACAUGCAAGUCGAACGGUCUUUCUAUGGAAGCUUGCUUCCACUGAGAAGAUAGUGGCGAACGGGUGAGUAACACGUGGGUAACCUGCCCAUAAGAGGGGGAUAACAUCCGGAAACGGGUGCUAAUACCGCAUAGUUUUCUUGAUCGCAUGAUUGGGAAAGGAAAGACGGCCUUUGUGCUGUCGCUUAUGGAUGGACCCGCGGCGUAUUAGUUAGUUGGUGAGGUAACGGCUCACCAAGACGAUGAUACGUAGCCGACCUGAGAGGGUGAUCGGCCACGUUGGGACUGAGACACGGCCCAAACUCCUACGGGAGGCAGCAGUAGGGAAUCUUCCGCAAUGGACGAAAGUCUGACGGAGCAACGCCGCGUGAGUGAAAGAAGGUUUUCGGAUCGUAAAACUCUGUUGUCAGAGAAGAACAAGUUGGAGAGUAACUGCUCCAGCCUUGACGGUAUCUGACCAGAAAGCCACGGCUAACUACGUGCCAGCCGCCGC
This 516-nucleotide ribosomal RNA is filed under the name uncultured bacterium. RNAcentral describes it as "bacterial SSU rRNA". It matches the Rfam family "Bacterial small subunit ribosomal RNA", at positions 29 to 518 of the family's 1533-position model. The record is from RNAcentral.